GCCUUGUUAAGAACAGAAUGCUUCAGUUAUCUCAUUUGAUUGUUCACAGUCAGUUACAGAUUGAACUCCUUGUUCUACUUUCCCCCCUCCUCACUACUGCACUUGACUAGUCUUUA
RNAcentral lists this small RNA (116 nucleotides) under Propithecus coquereli (Coquerel's sifaka). Its description in RNAcentral is "Y RNA (ENSPCOG00000005403.1)". The record is from RNAcentral. Lineage: Eukaryota; Metazoa; Chordata; Mammalia; Primates; Indriidae.